Ostrea edulis (European flat oyster) is the source of this 1160-nucleotide long non-coding RNA. RefSeq lists it as uncharacterized. The record is from RefSeq and is a predicted model, not a curated record. NCBI's taxonomy places the organism in Eukaryota, Metazoa, Mollusca, Bivalvia, Ostreida, Ostreidae. The transcript has 2 exons.
UUAAAGAAAAUCUCAUUGUAGGAAAAAACUGUUGUGUAUGCCCUUAAUCUGAUAUCAGUUGCUUAAGGUUAUAACCAUAACUACAUACGAUAUACAACUGACAUACAUAAUUAUAAUAUUCUAUAAAUAGGGAUUUUCGCCGUGACGUCAGAAAUCAGUCACGUGACUUACUGGUUGGCAAAACAUUUGAAAGUUUAAUGGCCGAAUGCUGAGUAAACAAGAGCAAAAUGAUGGUUGUGUCAUGUUGUGUAAUAGGCUGUGCUAAUAAAUUUGAUAAGAGUAGUCCGAAAAGCUUUUACCGCAUACCCAAGAAGCAAGAAUCAAGAAGAGAGCUCUGGAUAUCUGCAAUUAAGCGUCAACACAUCAGUGGUAAAUCAUGGGAACCAGCGGACAUCUUCUGUACUAGCCUUCAUAGACUCCUUUGUAAACAAAGAUGGUGUGUCGAUCAGGUACAGGUAAAUAUCACCGAACGUCAGAUCUGGCCAGGUACCUGGGCUUUGGCUCCAAUUCACGUUAAAUGGUAAGGACCAUGCAGAGAACAGGUACCACGGUUGUACAGCAACUUUACCGUAUAUCUCCUUUUCGCUUCUUCUGACAAAGAGUUCGCAUAUGUUGAUAAAAUAUCGUUAUCGGUAGACUUCUUCAUACUAAGUGCCAUUAUCAAUUUUUGGUUCUGCCAACCAGUUUACACACAUGCCUGAAUCAUGACGUCGCAGUACACUUCGGCGAACAUUCCUAUACAUAUUGUGUAGGAUUAACAUGUAUGUAUGUAAAAUAAUACACAAAUAUGCAAUAAGUAUAACUAAGUAUACAUGUAACUCAAGUAUUAUACAUAUGUAUGAUUAUUUUGGGUGCAGAGUUAGAACUUAGAACCUUAAUAAUGAAUAACGAAUUUAAUCAAUAUCAAUUUUCAUUUAAUCAACUAAUGAUUUGGAAAAUAUUAUAAUAAAAAAGUAAACAAUAGUGUUUAUCUACAGUCAGAUGCAUCUGAGAUCUUUUCCUAUAUAAGACUAUGUUCAACUUUUGUGUCAUAGUACUGACCUCAUCCCGAAUUUUCUCGCGUUACCAUAAACGCUUGCUGUGCUAGCUAUAAACUUGAGAUUUCUGGAUUUGGUGAAACGUACAAAAAAAAAAAAAAAAAAAAAAAAAAAACCGUGGAG